UGACUGCUUCUUAAAGGGUAACUUCGGUAUUUUUCAACAUGGACCCUAUUUUCCCCUUGUUUUUGUGUCUAAGUGACUAAUGGGAACAACUAUCUUUAAAAUUGGUCUAGUACUGAGCAA
Molecule: long non-coding RNA, 120 nt
Organism: Sander lucioperca (pikeperch)
Lineage: Eukaryota; Metazoa; Chordata; Actinopteri; Perciformes; Percidae
Exons: 3
Source: RefSeq, a predicted model, not a curated record